AUUCUUACCUGGCAGGGAAAAUACCAUGAUCAUUAAGAUGGCUUUCCCACGGCAAGACUUAUCCACUACACUUAGGAUGUGCUGAUCCCUACAGCUUCUCUAAAUGUGGAAAAUUUAACUGCAUAAUUUGUGGUAGUAGAGAACUGCAUUUGUACUCUUCCCUG
Onychomys torridus (southern grasshopper mouse) is the source of this 164-nucleotide small nuclear RNA. RefSeq annotates it as U1 spliceosomal RNA. The transcript has a single exon. The record is from RefSeq and is a predicted model, not a curated record. Lineage: Eukaryota; Metazoa; Chordata; Mammalia; Rodentia; Cricetidae.